AGAGGGACAGCUGGAUCAAAUGGUGAUUCCAUUCCUAAUUUUCCAAGAAAUCUCCAUACUACUUUUCAUAUUGGCUGCACCAAUUUGCAGUCCCACCAGCAGU
This 103-nucleotide microRNA precursor is filed under the name Marmota monax (woodchuck). Lineage: Eukaryota; Metazoa; Chordata; Mammalia; Rodentia; Sciuridae. The record is from RNAcentral.